CUACGGGUCGCACCAGUAGGGAAUUUUGCGCAAUGGGGGAAACCCUGACGCAGUAAUGCCGCGUGAGUGAGGAAGGCCUUUGGGUUGUAAAGCUCUGUCCUUAGGGAAAAAUGACGAUUUGGAAUAAUACCCAAUUCGAGUGAUGGUACCUAAGAAGAAAGCACCGGCUAACUUCGUGCCAGCAGCCGCGGUAAUACGAAGGGUGCAAGCGUUGUUCGGAUUUAUUGGGCGUAAAGAGCGCGCAGGCGGACUUACAAGUCAGGUGUGAAAUAUCGGAGCUUAACUCCGAGACUGCGCCUGAAACUAUUUGUCUAGAAUCUCAGAGAGGGAAGGGGAAUUUCGCAUGUAGGAGUAAAAUCCGUAGAGAUGCGAAGGAACACCAGUGGCGAAGGCGCCUUCCUGGAUGAGUAUUGACGCUGAGGCGCGAAAGCGUGGGGAGCAAACAGGAUUAGAUACCCGAGUAGUC
This 466-nucleotide ribosomal RNA is filed under the name uncultured bacterium. RNAcentral describes it as "partial 16S ribosomal RNA". It matches the Rfam family "Bacterial small subunit ribosomal RNA", at positions 339 to 795 of the family's 1533-position model. The record is from RNAcentral.